Long non-coding RNA from Magnolia sinica, 322 nucleotides. RefSeq lists it as uncharacterized. The transcript has 4 exons. The record is from RefSeq and is a predicted model, not a curated record. Lineage: Eukaryota; Viridiplantae; Streptophyta; Magnoliopsida; Magnoliales; Magnoliaceae.
CAUUUCUUGAGUAGUUUUUAAUGAAGGAUCUAAAAUUAAGCUAGGGAAGAAAGAAGAUGAAGAAGCUGAUGAAAUAUAGCAGUACCUAUGGCAGUUAUUGCUUCUUUUAGGAAAAUGAAAAAGCUUGUCCAAGACAUUUCAUUGGUUGAGGCUGCACUUAGGACCUCGUCUCAGCUUGUUGUAAGUUCCGAUGGAAAGAAAGUGAAGUGAUUGCAUGCAUUACCAGACAUUGACAUCGAAGAUGCAAAGGUCAGGCAGAUUUGCUAGGCUUCAACGGAUUCAAUGCUCAUCGGGCCCAUGAGCAGCCUUAUUCAUCGCGCCC